AUAUGCUAGUAACCAUGCUAGAAUAACAGCCACAGUCUGCUAUGACCUGAAUUGAACCAGAAAAUGCAGAGUGAAGGCAGGGGGAACACGGCUCGGGGUCCUCUCUGGUCAGGCCUGGAGCCAGCGCUUGUAAACUGUGGACUAUCACCCACUGUUGAGAGGCCUCCUUUCGGCAGACUUCAGCACAGGGAUGUGGACUUGUUUCUAUGAAAGCCUGGAAUUCCUGUAGGGGUAGUGCCGUAAAACCGGAUCUUUACCUUCCUUAUUUAAAGGACUUUUUUGCGCAUAGACUGCCUGUCCUGGCCUCUCUCCCACUCUGGAAAGGAAGGGCUGAGAGAGAAAAACACACUGGAGAUGCUGUUUUGGAUGGAAACACACUCGCUGCCUGUUUCCCUGUGUGCCCAUGGUUCUUCUAGGUGCUGGGAAUAGACGAGUGAGAUGCAGACAAGGCCCCAGUCCUCACGGCACUUAUGUGCUAUGAGGAAACAAGGAAUGCACAUACCCCAUCGAGGAGGUGUCAGUCCAUCUUCAUGAGCCAAAAGGUGACAUGUGCCAAGGAAACAGGAAUAGAGCCUUGAGUGAAGCAUCAGACCAGUACAGCCGACCUGGUGGGCCUUGGUGCAAAGGGAAUGGAGCAAAGACUGGGAGGUAAUGAGGGGAUUCCCCAGGUGCUCCCCUGGGAGAAGAGAAUUCUGCCCACAGGCCCUGCCACCAGCGAGGGCCUUGCGUGCCGUGGAGUGGGAGGAACCACAAGGUGAGAAGGGUCUGAGG
RNAcentral lists this long non-coding RNA (771 nucleotides) under Homo sapiens (human). RNAcentral's name for it is "non-protein coding lnc-COPS8-18:1". Lineage: Eukaryota; Metazoa; Chordata; Mammalia; Primates; Hominidae. The record is from RNAcentral.